UGGGUCAAGCCUGCCCAGUGAAUUUUUUUAACGGCCGCAGUACCCUGACUGUGCGAAGGUAGCAUAAUAAUUUGUCUUAUAAUUGAAGACUAGAAUGAACGGCUAAAUGUAAAUAAACCUGUCUCUUAUGCGGCACUAAAAAUUAAUCUAUUGGUUCAAAAGCCAAUAUUUUAUAAAUAGACGAGAAGACCCUAUUGAGCUUAAUUCCUAAUUAUACUUAAUUAAUUUUCCCAUAAAAUAAAAUUUUGUUGGGGCGACAAAGGAACUUAUUUAGCUUCCUUUAAAUCUUUUAUACUAACAAUUAAACCGAUCCAUUUGUAAUGAUCAAAUAACAAGUUACCAUAGGGAUAACAGCAUAAUUCUUUUUGAGAGCCCAAAUCGAAAAAAGAGUUUGUGACCUCGAUGUUGGACUAAGGUAAUCAAAAGGCGCAACCGUCUUUUUAAAUAGUCUGUUCGACUARUAA
RNAcentral lists this ribosomal RNA (464 nucleotides) under Georissa sepulutensis. Its description in RNAcentral is "partial 16S ribosomal RNA". It matches the Rfam family "Bacterial large subunit ribosomal RNA", at positions 1849 to 2591 of the family's 2925-position model. Lineage: Eukaryota; Metazoa; Mollusca; Gastropoda; Cycloneritida; Hydrocenidae. The record is from RNAcentral.